Molecule: long non-coding RNA, 743 nt
Organism: Brassica napus (rape)
Lineage: Eukaryota; Viridiplantae; Streptophyta; Magnoliopsida; Brassicales; Brassicaceae
Exons: 3
Source: RefSeq, a predicted model, not a curated record
GCAGACACUAGUGUGCUGGAAGGAUUACCACCUGAUUCAGCUGAGGCUCAAGCUCGUAUUACAGAAAUCAAGAAUGAUGAUGGUUUUAACUGGGGGUAGUUUGUGAUACGUAAGUUACUCAAUUCAUUUUGAAGCAGUCACCUUCAUCACAUGCUUCCUGUUUUGUGAAGGUAUAAUCAUGUGCUUUGGGGAGUCCCAAAAGGAAGCUACGCUAGUGAUCCGACUGGUCCAUGCGUAUAAUUGAGUUUAGAAAAAUGGUUCAGGUUUGCAUUUUUCCACUGCUCCUAGUGAUUUGCAACGCUAAUAAGCUCAUUUAAAAGCCAAAUUUUGUAGUGAAUCAUACAAGGUGUCAAUGAUUUCAUGAUUUAUUUUGGCAGGCUCUUAAUUUUAUCGGUCUUAAUGUCGUCUUAGACGUUGUUUACAACCACUUGCAUGCAAAUGGGCCACACGACAAAGACUCUGUUCUUGAUAAGAUAGUUCCAGGUUACGAUUUGAGAAGGAACAAUGAUGGUUUUAUUGAAAACAGUACAUGCGUAAACAACACUGCUAGCGAGCAUUAUAUGGUCGAUCGUCUGAUACGAGAUGAUCUAUUAAACUGGGUUGUUAAUUAUAAGGUUGAUGGUUUUCGUUUUGAUCUCAUGGGUCAUAUUAUGAAAGAUACAAUGGUAAGCCUCUCUCCUACUCCUCUAAGGGUUAUCCUUUAGUGUCCUUUCAGUUAUGGUUUCAUUAGGUUCUGUUGUGAU